GAUGAACGCUGGCGGCGUGCCUAACACAUGCAAGUCGAACGGGAACCCUUGGAUUCGUCUGAGGGGGAGAGUGGCGAACGGGUGAGUAACACGUAGGUGACCUGCCCCGAAGAGGGGAAUAACCAUUGGAAACGGUGGCUAAUACCCCAUGUGCUCGGUGGUUCGUUCCAUCGAGGAAAGCUCCGGCGCUUUGGGAGGGGCCUGCGGCCCAUCAGGUAGUUGGUAGGGUAAUGGCCUACCAAGCCGAUGACGGGUAGGGGGCGUGAGAGCGUGAUCCCCCACACUGGCACUGAGACACGGGCCAGACUCCUACGGGAGGCAGCAGUGAGGAAUAUUGCCCAAUGGACGAAAGUCUGAGGCAGCAACGCCGCGUGGGCGAUGAAGGCCUUAGGGUUGUAAAGCCCUUUUCUGGGGGACGAGAGAGGACGGUACCUCAGGAAUAAGUCACGGCUAACUACGUG
This 461-nucleotide ribosomal RNA is filed under the name uncultured bacterium. RNAcentral describes it as "bacterial SSU rRNA". It matches the Rfam family "Bacterial small subunit ribosomal RNA", at positions 28 to 507 of the family's 1533-position model. The record is from RNAcentral.